RNAcentral lists this transfer RNA (75 nucleotides) under Sediminivirga luteola. RNAcentral's name for it is "tRNA-Met". It matches the Rfam family "tRNA". From Rfam's summary of the family: Transfer RNA (tRNA) molecules are approximately 80 nucleotides in length. Their secondary structure includes four short double-helical elements and three loops (D, anti-codon, and T loops). Lineage: Bacteria; Bacillati; Actinomycetota; Actinomycetes; Micrococcales; Brevibacteriaceae. The record is from RNAcentral.
CCCCCUGUAGCUCAACCGGUCAGAGCAGAGGACUCAUAAUCCUUUGGUUGCGGGUUCAAGUCCCGCCGGGGGGAC